RNAcentral lists this transfer RNA (74 nucleotides) under Mycobacterium avium subsp. hominissuis. Its description in RNAcentral is "tRNA-Arg". It matches the Rfam family "tRNA". From Rfam's summary of the family: Transfer RNA (tRNA) molecules are approximately 80 nucleotides in length. Their secondary structure includes four short double-helical elements and three loops (D, anti-codon, and T loops). RNAcentral also lists the same sequence under 2 other names. The record is from RNAcentral. Lineage: Bacteria; Bacillati; Actinomycetota; Actinomycetes; Mycobacteriales; Mycobacteriaceae.
GCCCGCGUAGCUCAAUGGACAGAGCGCCGGUCUUCUAAACCGAUGUGGUGUGGGUUCGAGUCCCGCCGUGGGCA